RNAcentral lists this ribosomal RNA (377 nucleotides) under Ehrlichia canis. RNAcentral's name for it is "bacterial SSU rRNA". It matches the Rfam family "Bacterial small subunit ribosomal RNA", at positions 1032 to 1409 of the family's 1533-position model. The record is from RNAcentral. Lineage: Bacteria; Pseudomonadati; Pseudomonadota; Alphaproteobacteria; Rickettsiales; Anaplasmataceae.
ACACAGGUGGGGCAUGGCUGUCGUCAGCUCGUGUCGUGAGAUGUUGGGUUAAGUCCCGCAACGAGCGCAACCCUCAUUCUUAGUUACCAACAGGUAAUGCUGGGCACUCUAAGGAAACUGCCAGUGAUAAACUGGAGGAAGGUGGGGAUGACGUCAAAUCAGCACGGCCCUUAUAGGGUGGGCUACACACGUGCUACAAUGGCAACUACAAUAGGUUGCGAGACCGCAAGGUUUAGCUAAUCCAUAAAAGUUGUCUCAGUUCGGAUUGUUCUCUGAAACUCGAGAGCAUGAAGUCGGAAUCGCUAGUAAUCGUGGAUCAUCACGCCACGGUGAAUACGUUCUCGGGUCUUGUACACACUGCCCGUCACGCCAUGGGA